Notolabrus celidotus (New Zealand spotty) is the source of this 1595-nucleotide long non-coding RNA. RefSeq lists it as uncharacterized. The record is from RefSeq and is a predicted model, not a curated record. Lineage: Eukaryota; Metazoa; Chordata; Actinopteri; Labriformes; Labridae. The transcript has 3 exons.
UACAAAGGUGUACUAAAUCAAUAAUAUUUAGUGCAUCAAUAUUUGGCGCAUCAAGAAACUAAAAACAGGAAAAAGGAGAUGCUUAGCAGCUGAAAUCCUACAUCAGUGAAAAAUAAGAUAGCAUUUCAUCUGAAGGUUCAUCUGACGUUGAGUCUGGGUAUGAACCUCUGACCACUGUGAAACCUCCUGCUUUCCGUCUUGCUGGUCCUGCUUUCAUCCCGGAUCAUCUUAACCCUGCUGAUCCAACCUUUCACUCUUGCCUUGAAGGCCUCAUAGAUAUGCUGCAUGUCAUGGAGCGUCAUGCACGGGUCAAACAAGAGGAAUCAACCAGCAGUUCCUGGGAGAUGAUAGAGGAGGAGGAGGUUGAUGGUGAGGAAGAAGAUGAGGAAGAGAUUCCUAAUCCUGCUGACCAUCUCAGUGCUCCUGCUUUCCCUUUCUUGCCUGCCUCGUCUGACUUUCCUUUGGACCUUGCAGUCAUCACUCCUUUCCUUGAUCAACUGAAUGCCAUGCACAGGCAUUUUUACUCCCGAUCAGAUGAGGACUCUUCCUCUUCCUUUGACAUGUCAAAUAAGGAGUCCACAUACCUUUUGGAGAAUAUGGAAUCCUCCAGUGUCUCUGAAGAGUAUGAGGACCAGGUAUCUUCCUCAUCUAGACCCUAGCAGCUCUAGGAGACGGGAGGGAAGACUGCGCUGAUGAGGUAGAUGGGCCUGUUUCCAUGAGGCCCAGGUUGUUUGAUGAGAGCGCCGCAGACUGACUCCUAAAGUGAAAGGCUGAUGGUUUUCACAGGAUCAUCAAACCACAUCUGCCAUCAGGAUAGAUGCAGCGACUUCACAUCUUGCAGGAUCAUUGAUUUUCGAGGUUGCCCUUGCGACUGGCAGGUCUAGUGACACCUCAGGUAGUGUCUUGCACCUGGACUUAAUUUACUGCAGGGAUAGUAAAGAGACCUUUUUGUAAAUCCUGAGGACUUGCCUUUGCGCCUGGCUGGGCAAGCAAAGCCCCAGGUGGACUUUGCAUCUGGCAGGGCUGUCACAUCCCUGGUAGCGUCUUGCACUUAUUCUAUAUCUCAAAAACUGUAUGUUAGUAAUCAUUAUCCUGUGUUUUUAUUUACCUGAGCUGCUCCUCCUCACUGUAAAGUCAGUAUGCACCCCUGAUCCAGAACAGAGUGUAAUGAGAUGUUGUCUUAACCAGCUACAUACCCGUGUGUUUAGAUAAGAACACUUAUUCUGUAUCUUAAAGAUUAUUUGACUGUCCCACUGACCAUUGUUUGUCUUUCUUCCUCUCUCCCCACCACCUGAGCCAUCCCUGAUGUUAAACGUGUAUUAGUAAAAAAGAGCAGCUGCUGGUCACUGAGUUUGAAAACAGCAGGUUAUGAUGUGAGGACAGCGAGUGCAGGACGUCAAUGGCUUCCUUGAUGACAAAGAAGAAACGCUCACAUCUGACCUGCAGGAGAAUCUGGAGAGUAGACAGAGGUCGCCUUCUGUCAGUGGGAUUCCAUGGAGUAUAGACGUCAACCAAACCACACAAAUUCCUGUGUGACACCAAACUUUCUCACCUCAGUUGAUUUUGUUUUACGUUCAAUAAAAAGCUCAGGAGUU